This 395-nucleotide ribosomal RNA is filed under the name uncultured bacterium. RNAcentral's name for it is "partial 16S ribosomal RNA". It matches the Rfam family "Bacterial small subunit ribosomal RNA", at positions 523 to 918 of the family's 1533-position model. The record is from RNAcentral.
AUACGUAGGGUGCAAGCGUUAAUCGGAAUUACUGGGCGUAAAGCGUGCGCAGGCGGUUUUGUAAGACAGUGGUGAAAUCCCCGGGCUCAACCUGGGAACUGCCAUUGUGACUGCAAGGCUGGAGUGCGGCAGAGGGGGAUUGAAUUCCGCGUGUAGCAGUGAAAGGCGUAGAUAUGCGGAGGAACACCGAUGGCGAAGGCAAUCCCCUGGGCCUGCACUGACGCUCAUGCACGAAAGCGUGGGGAGCAAACAGGAUUAGAUACCCUUGUAGUCCACGCCCUAAACGAUGUCAACUGGUUGUUGGGGAUUUAUUUUCUCAGUAACGAAGCUAACGCGUGAAGUUGACCGCCUGGGGAGUACGGCCGCAAGGUUAAAACUCAAAUGAAUUGACGGGG